Molecule: ribosomal RNA, 346 nt
Filed under: uncultured bacterium
Lineage: Bacteria
Description: bacterial SSU rRNA
Rfam family: Bacterial small subunit ribosomal RNA
Source: RNAcentral
AGGGUUUGAUUAUGGCUCAGGAUGAACGCUGGCGGCGUGCUUAACACAUGCAAGUCGAACGAAGCGAUAGAGAACGGAGAUUUCGGUUGAAGUUUUCUAUUGACUGAGUGGCGGACGGGUGAGUAACGCGUGGGUAACCUGCCCUAUACAGGGGGAUAACAGUUAGAAAUGACUGCUAAUACCGCAUAAGCGCACAGCUUCGCAUGAAGCGGUGUGAAAAACUGAGGUGGUAUAGGAUGGACCCGCGUUGGAUUAGCUAGUUGGUGAGGUAACGGCCCACCAAGGCGACGAUCCAUAGCCGGCCUGAGAGGGUGAACGGCCACAUUGGGACUGAGACACGGCCCAA